GUGACUGUAGCAUAGUGGUUAAUGCUCCUGAUUGUGAGUCAGGCAGACGAGAGUUCGAAUCUCUUCAGUCACC
RNAcentral lists this transfer RNA (73 nucleotides) under Gynuella sunshinyii YC6258. It matches the Rfam family "tRNA". From Rfam's summary of the family: Transfer RNA (tRNA) molecules are approximately 80 nucleotides in length. The record is from Rfam by way of RNAcentral. Lineage: Bacteria; Pseudomonadati; Pseudomonadota; Gammaproteobacteria; Oceanospirillales; Saccharospirillaceae.